Molecule: transfer RNA, 69 nt
Filed under: Ictidomys tridecemlineatus (thirteen-lined ground squirrel)
Lineage: Eukaryota; Metazoa; Chordata; Mammalia; Rodentia; Sciuridae
Description: Spermophilus tridecemlineatus (thirteen-lined ground squirrel) tRNA
Rfam family: tRNA
About the family: Transfer RNA (tRNA) molecules are approximately 80 nucleotides in length. Their secondary structure includes four short double-helical elements and three loops (D, anti-codon, and T loops). Further hydrogen bonds mediate the characteristic L-shaped molecular structure. tRNAs have two regions of fundamental functional importance: the anti-codon, which is responsible for specific mRNA codon recognition, and the 3' end, to which the tRNAs corresponding amino acid is attached (by aminoacyl-tRNA synthetases). tRNAs cope with the degeneracy of the genetic code in two manners: having more than one tRNA (with a specific anti-codon) for a particular amino acid; and 'wobble' base-pairing, i.e. permitting non-standard base-pairing at the 3rd anti-codon position.
Source: Rfam by way of RNAcentral
GGAGCUAUGGCUCAGUGAUAGAGCAUUUACCUGUCAUGUAUGAGAUGUUGGGUUUGAUUCUUAGCACCA